UUUUAUUUUAUGUUUUUUAAUAUAUGUUAGUUUUUUUGAAUGUGUUAUUUAAAUAACAUAUUAAAUAAAAUAUAUAUUGACAUGGAUUUAACAAAGAUAUAUAUUAUUUUAUGUUGCGUAAAUAAAUUGGCAAAAUAGAGAUGGAAUAUAAAAAUAAAAACCCUGGCAAUAACCUACUCAA
This 181-nucleotide unclassified non-coding RNA is filed under the name Borreliella burgdorferi (Lyme disease spirochete). Its description in RNAcentral is "partial miscellaneous RNA". Lineage: Bacteria; Pseudomonadati; Spirochaetota; Spirochaetia; Spirochaetales; Borreliaceae. The record is from RNAcentral.